UAGGAUUUGUUAGGAUUUCACUAGGAUUUGGUUUAAAAUUUGGUUAGGAUUUAGAAUUUGAUUAGGAUUUUAUUAAGAUUUUAUUAGGAUUUGAUCAAGGAUUUGAUUAGGAUUUAAAAUUUGAUUAGGAUUUAGUUAUGAUUUAGGAUUUUAUUAAGAUUUGAUUUAGAUUUGAUUAAGAUUUGAUUAAGCUUUGGUCUAAGAUUUGAUUAGGAUUUAUUCAAAAUUUGAUUAAGAUUUAUAAUUUAUUUAGAGCUUUAUUAGGAUUGAUUUAAAGCUUCAUUAGAAUUUAAUUAGAAUUUUAUUUAGGAUUUGAUUCAGGAUUUAAUUAGGAUUUUUUUAGGAUUUUAUUAGAUUUUGAUUAAGAUUUAAUUAAAAUUUCUAUUUUUAAUAU
This 394-nucleotide long non-coding RNA is filed under the name Physcomitrium patens. RNAcentral's name for it is "long non-coding RNA (PPAT_LNC001178)". The record is from RNAcentral. Lineage: Eukaryota; Viridiplantae; Streptophyta; Bryopsida; Funariales; Funariaceae.